CUGCUUGCUUCGGCAGCACAUGCACUAAAAUUGACAGAAGACAAAGAUUAACAUCGUCCCAGCACAGGAUGACACACAAAUAUUUAUGAAGUAUGUCCGAGUUUU
This 105-nucleotide small nuclear RNA is filed under the name Loxodonta africana (African savanna elephant). Lineage: Eukaryota; Metazoa; Chordata; Mammalia; Proboscidea; Elephantidae. The record is from RNAcentral.